CGCGUAGGUGGGUUAUUAAGUCAGUUGUGAAAGCCCAGGGCUUAACCUUGGAACUGCAAUUGAUACUGGUGACCUAGAGUACAGUAGAGGAAGGUGGAAUUUCAGGUGUAGCGGUGAAAUGCGUAGAGAUCUGAAGGAACAUCAGUGGCGAAGGCGGCCUUCUGGACUGAUACUGACACUGAGGUGCGAAAGCGUGGGUAGCAAACA
This 207-nucleotide ribosomal RNA is filed under the name uncultured bacterium. RNAcentral's name for it is "partial 16S ribosomal RNA". It matches the Rfam family "Bacterial small subunit ribosomal RNA", at positions 568 to 774 of the family's 1533-position model. The record is from RNAcentral.